This 506-nucleotide ribosomal RNA is filed under the name uncultured bacterium. RNAcentral's name for it is "partial 16S ribosomal RNA". It matches the Rfam family "Bacterial small subunit ribosomal RNA", at positions 29 to 523 of the family's 1533-position model. The record is from RNAcentral.
AGUGAACGCUGGCGGUAGGCCUAACACAUGCAAGUCGAACGGCAGCACAGGAGAGCUUGCUCUCUGGGUGGCGAGUGGCGGACGGGUGAGGAAUACAUCGGAAUCUACUUUUUCGUGGGGGAUAACGUAGGGAAACUUACGCUAAUACCGCAUUCGACCUACGGGUGAAAGCGGGGGAUCUUCGGACCUUGCGCGAUUGAAUGAGCCGAUGUCGGAUUAGCUAGUUGGCGGGGUAAAGGCCCACCAAGGCGACGAUCCGUAGCUGGUCUGAGGGGAUGAUCAGCCACACUGGAACUGAGACACGGUCCAGACUCCUACGGGAGGCAGCAGUGGGGAAUAUUGGACAAUGGGCGCAAGCCUGAUCCAGCCAUACCGCGUGGGUGAAGAAGGCCUUCGGGUUGUAAAGCCCUUUUGUUGGGAAAGAAAUCCAGCUGGUUAAUACCCGGUUGGGAUGACGGUACCCAAAGAAUAAGCACCGGCUAACUUCGUGCCAGCCGCCGCCGUAA